UACGGAGGGGACUAGCGUUGUUCGGAAUUACUGGGCGUAAAGCGCACGUAGGCGGAUUUGUAAGUCAGGGGUGAAAUCCCGAGGCUCAACCUCGGAACUGCCUUUGAUACUGCAAAUCUCGAGUCCGGAAGAGGUGAGUGGAAUUCCUAGUGUAGAGGUGAAAUUCGUAGAUAUUGGGAAGAACACCGGUGGCGAAGGCGGCGACCUGGUCCGAUACUGACGCUGAGGCGCGAAAGCGUGGGGAGCAAACAGG
RNAcentral lists this ribosomal RNA (253 nucleotides) under uncultured bacterium. RNAcentral's name for it is "partial 16S ribosomal RNA". It matches the Rfam family "Bacterial small subunit ribosomal RNA", at positions 524 to 776 of the family's 1533-position model. The record is from RNAcentral.